UUGUAGCAUUCUGUUUCCGGUCUCCCAGGAGUGAAAAGGGAAUCCAGUGCAAAUCUGGAGCUGACGCGCAGCGGUAAAGACUGGCGGGAUGAUAAGUUGCAGACACUGCUUUGGAAGAGUGGGAAGUCUUCAUCCAUAACACGCCACCCAGCCCGAAGACCUGCCGGAUUACGUCGCAAUGG
Molecule: non-coding RNA, 182 nt
Filed under: Enterobacter cloacae
Lineage: Bacteria; Pseudomonadati; Pseudomonadota; Gammaproteobacteria; Enterobacterales; Enterobacteriaceae
Also listed under: 1 other name
Source: RNAcentral